RNAcentral lists this long non-coding RNA (434 nucleotides) under Brassica napus (rape). RNAcentral's name for it is "long non-coding RNA (BNAP_LNC004282)". The record is from RNAcentral. Lineage: Eukaryota; Viridiplantae; Streptophyta; Magnoliopsida; Brassicales; Brassicaceae.
GGGGUGACUAAAGACGUUUUUAUUAGAAUCAGACAAGAGAUUACAAGAUUUGUCGGGAAAAUAAGGAGACAAGAUUAGAGGUCUAAACAACAAGAUCAGAGUGAUCAAUGGGAAACCCUAAAUCUAGCCGCUUAGUGUGUAGGUCGUCCAAAAGUCCCCUUGUCGUUGUAUUCUUCUCCCCUCUUAUAGUGCUCUUGCCGGUGAUGCCCUAAUCGCCUUGUCUUUUGGGCCUCGUCGCCAAAGGCCGAGUAUGCAGGCCUUGGCACUGUUCCCUCCAAGCCGAGUAUCAUCGAUCGGCUUAACUGAUCGGCUAAAAGUACUCUGGAGCCGAGUCAACACCUCCAGCCGCUGAGCCGACUAAACUAGCUAAGUUUAUUGGGCUAGGGCCUGUUAUUUGGCGGGCCUUGUGGAGGGAUGUAAUCCAUCUCCUACAA